UGGGGAAUAUUGCACAAUGGGCGAAAGCCUGAUGCAGCGACGCCGCGUGAGGGAUGACGGCCUUCGGGUUGUAAACCUCUUUCAGUAGGGACGAAGCGCAAGUGACGGUACCUACAGAAGAAGCACCGGCCAACUACGUGCCAGCAGCCGCGGUAAUACGUAGGGUGCGAGCGUUGUCCGGAUUCACUGGGCGUAAAGAGCUCGUAGGCGGUUUGUCACGUCGUCUGUGAAAACCCGAGGCUUAACCUCGGGCCUGCAGGCGAUACGGGCAGACUUGAGUACUGUAGGGGAGACUGGAAUUCCUGGUGUAGCGGUGGAAUGCGCAGAUAUCAGGAGGAACACCGGUGGCGAAGGCGGGUCUCUGGGCAGUAACGGACGCUGAGGAGCGAAAGCGUGGGUAGCGAACAGG
Molecule: ribosomal RNA, 409 nt
Filed under: bacterium
Lineage: Bacteria
Description: partial 16S ribosomal RNA
Rfam family: Bacterial small subunit ribosomal RNA
Source: RNAcentral